AGCAGCCGCGGUAAUUCCAGCUCCAAUAGCGUAUAUUAAAGUUGUUGCAGUUAAAAGCUCGUAGUUGAAUUUCGGGGUCAGUAGGUUGGUCGUGCCACUGGUAUGUAUUGGUCUCACUGAUUCCUCCUUCCUGAUGAACCGUAAUGCCAUUAAUUUGGUGUUGCAGGGAAACUGGACUGUUACUUUGAAAAAUUAGAGUGUUUAAAGCAAGCUAACGCUUGAAUACAUUAGCAUGGAAUAAUGAAAUAGGACGAUCGAUCCUAUUUUGUUGGUUUCUAGGAUUGACGUAAUGAUUAAUAGGGAUAGUUGGGGGCAUUAGUAUUCAAUUGUCAGAGGUGAAAUUCUUGGAUUUAUUGAAGACUAACUACUGCGAAAGCAUUUGCCAAGGAUGUUUUCAUUAAUCAAGAACGAAAGUUAGGGGAUCGAAGACGAUCAGAUACCGUCGUAGUC
This 450-nucleotide ribosomal RNA is filed under the name uncultured Glomus. RNAcentral's name for it is "SSU rRNA". It matches the Rfam family "Eukaryotic small subunit ribosomal RNA", at positions 569 to 1025 of the family's 1831-position model. Lineage: Eukaryota; Fungi; Glomeromycota; Glomeromycetes; Glomerales; Glomeraceae. The record is from RNAcentral.